This is a long non-coding RNA of Fukomys damarensis (Damara mole-rat), 244 nucleotides long. RefSeq lists it as uncharacterized. Lineage: Eukaryota; Metazoa; Chordata; Mammalia; Rodentia; Bathyergidae. The record is from RefSeq and is a predicted model, not a curated record. The transcript is spliced from 3 exons.
CGAUGUAGGAAGUUCCCUUCUAGGCGAAGCUCUGCCAUGUGGGCAAAGAAGAGAGAAGGCCUCCUGAGCCUGUUUGAGCCUGUCCUUUCGGCCCACUCAUAGCACCUUUGAAAAUGAGCUACAAAAUAUGAGCUGUGUCACCUCACAUGCCAGGUGCCCAGGCUGACCACAGAGGUUCUCCUGCCUUGCCUGGCAGGCUGGCAGGUAUGUGCAGCUCAUAUCCAGGUUCACCCAGGAUCAUGCU